Molecule: unclassified non-coding RNA, 88 nt
Filed under: Homo sapiens (human)
Lineage: Eukaryota; Metazoa; Chordata; Mammalia; Primates; Hominidae
Description: LY6E divergent transcript (ENSG00000282681.1)
Source: RNAcentral
UGAGUCUGGGGACCCAAGAUCUUAUUUUCCUUUCUGUCACCCCCGCUUGGUUUUGGAUUCCGUGACAGCUGGACCCGGCUUCUGCGUG